CAUAUGGCAAAGGGCCUACUUUUCAGAAUAUUAAGGAUACAUUAUUGUUCCGCUUGGACUUCAGCUCUUAUCACUGGAAACCUGCUUUUUGGUCUGAAUUUCUGAAGAACCAGAGAAUCCUUAGAGAGAGAAAGAGACAGACCAAAACAUGGAAAAAUAAAAUCUAUGCUCUACUGAAGAGAACAUUUUUUGUUUGGUUAAAUAAUCUACAGGAUUUUGUGCUAGAAAAAUAAAGUCAGGCACAUAAAAGCUGGUUAAUGGCAAGACCAAGACUAAAGACUGAAACUCAGGCCAUUGGACCUCUGCUUACUAUUAAACCACAUUUAGAAAGACAGAAUCUUCUAGAUCCCUUUGGCACUGUGCCUCAGGCCUCUCCCAGUCAACAGCCAGAGAACAUUGUUCAUUUGGGAUAGAGAGGAAAAGGAUGUUGAAUCCAUGGAGUGGAGAACACUGCCAAACUGCCAUUUUUUCCUCUCUUCUUUCUUUGGGUGUAAGACUUCAUUGACAUGAAAGGUAUAAAUAAUG
Long non-coding RNA from Leopardus geoffroyi (Geoffroy's cat), 525 nucleotides. RefSeq lists it as uncharacterized. Lineage: Eukaryota; Metazoa; Chordata; Mammalia; Carnivora; Felidae. The transcript is spliced from 2 exons. The record is from RefSeq and is a predicted model, not a curated record.